This is a long non-coding RNA of Panicum hallii, 300 nucleotides long. RefSeq lists it as uncharacterized. The record is from RefSeq and is a predicted model, not a curated record. NCBI's taxonomy places the organism in Eukaryota, Viridiplantae, Streptophyta, Magnoliopsida, Poales, Poaceae. The transcript is spliced from 3 exons.
AUGUUGACGUGUCUCUUUCCAUGCAUCACAACGUGAUCUCCAUAGAAGAGGUAGAUGCACUGGGACUCGUGAAUGCUGAUUUUAACAGUGAAUCAUCGCCUGUUCGCGAAGAGAACUUCUUGUGUGAAGAUAACGAGACUACUGUCAAAAUGAAUGAUGCAUUUAGAACACCAACGAAGAAAAAACAACAUGUUCUUGAGAAGGGGAUGUUGUUUGAUGACAUGGAAGCGGCUCAUAAAUUUUACAUGGAAUAUGCACAUAGUCUUGCUUUCUCUGUUCGUAUAGGUCAACAGAAAUUAG